CGCGUAGGCGGCGGAUCAAGUUAGGCGUGAAAGGCCUGGGCUCAACCUGGGAACUGCGCUUGAUACUGGUUUGCUGGAGUCCGGGAGAGGGUGGUGGAAUUCCAAGUGUAGAGGUGAAAUUCGUAGAUAUUUGGAGGAACACCGGUGGCGAAGGCGGCCACCUGGCCCGGCACUGACGCUGAGGCGCGAAAGCGUGGGGAGCAAACA
Molecule: ribosomal RNA, 207 nt
Filed under: uncultured bacterium
Lineage: Bacteria
Description: partial 16S ribosomal RNA
Rfam family: Bacterial small subunit ribosomal RNA
Source: RNAcentral